Long non-coding RNA from Panthera uncia (snow leopard), 3933 nucleotides. RefSeq lists it as uncharacterized. NCBI's taxonomy places the organism in Eukaryota, Metazoa, Chordata, Mammalia, Carnivora, Felidae. The record is from RefSeq and is a predicted model, not a curated record. The transcript is spliced from 3 exons.
UUUCUGCUAUGAUUUGCUCCCAUAACCCUUCUAUGUCUAUUUCUCUCUCUUCCUCUUCUGGGACCCCCAUGAUUCUGAUGUUGUUCCUUUUUAAUGAGUCACUGAUUUCUCUAAUUCUUAAAUUGUGCUCUUUUGCCUUAAUCUCCCUCUUUUUCUUCUGCUUCAUUAUUCUCCAUAAGUUUUUCCUCUAUAUCACUGAUUCUCUGUUCUACCUCAUCCAUCCUUGCCGCCGCGGCCUCCAUCCGAGAAUGCAGCUCAGUUUAAUAUUUUUUAUUUCAUCCUGACUAGCUUUUAUUUAUUUUAUCUCCGCAGAAAGGGAUUCUAGUCUAUUUUUGACUCCAGUUAGUAUUCUUAUUAUCGUGAUUCUAAAUUCUGAUUCAGACAUCUUGCUUGUUUCUGUGUUGGUUACAUUCCUGGCUGUUGUUUCUUUCUGCUCAUUCUUUUGGGGUGAAUUCCUUUGUUUCAGCAUUUUGAAGGGAGAAAAGGAAUUAAUGAGGUAAAAAAAUUAAAUUAAAAACAAUUAAAAUUUUAAAAAUAUUAAAAUUAAAAAAUUAAAAACAAACACACACACACACCAAAUCAAAUAAAUGAUGUUAGAUCCUAGGUGUGUUUUGGUGUGGGUGUUGAAAGGCGCUUGAUAGAGAAAAACAGGGAAAGAAAAAAAAGGAAAUCGUUUGAAAAUUUGAAAAAAUGAAUACACCGAGGUAGACUAAAAUGAAAUGAUGGAAGUAAAAUAGAAUUUGAAAAAAUUUACACAAAAGUAAAAAAUAUAGUGGAAAAAAUUAAACAAAAAUAUUUUUAAUAAAAAUUGGAAAUAAAAAUGAAUUUUUUCUCUUUCUGUAUUGAAGAAAAAGAAAAGAAAUGAAAAAGAGAAAUAAAAAGAAAAAAAAGAAACAAAAUUGAAUAGAUGACCGGCAAACAGACUGAAAUACUACUGAAAUUACUUCGUUUUCCCCCAGAAGUCAAACUGUGAAACGCUUUAUAGUCCAUAAACUAAGCAGGCGGACACACUUUUGUUCCUGAAGAGAGAGGUUGGCCUCGUUGGGCGGGCCUUAGUGUAACAACUUUGUUCUCCAGUAGAUGGCGCUGCUUAGCUUACUGGGGUGGAUUCUUUGGCGCUUGUAGGUGCGUAUGCGCAUGCGCAGGAGCGGUUAAAAUGGUGUCUCCCAGCUACCCCAGAACUCUGCUCUCCCCGAGCAGCAAUCAGGCACCCACCGUUUGUCCUCAGCUUCCAUCCACUCCUCGCUUUUACACUGUCCGUGACCAAGCCCCAGGCAAUACUUGCCUCCUGAGUUUUGUCUCAGAUGCGGCUAUUUUCCCCAGCCCCUUACUUCUGAGGGACUGCGGUUUUGACCUGUUCUGCCCUUCUGCGGGAGGGUCUCACCGAGAAAUGGUCGGUUGCCGGCCGCACCCAGGAACAUUUGUGGGACUGGGCUGCUGCUGAUGCAUAGAGACUGAGGCCUGGUGCCAGUCUGCCCCAGAAAAAGUUCGUGAGAUGGUGUAGCAGCAGCGUUUCAGGGAUUAUGGAAAAUCACAACAUGCAUCUGGCACCAGGCUUCACCCUUAAUGACCUUGUUCCAGCACCAGCGAAUGUGAUUGUUCUCCCGGGUCCACUGGGGCCUUACCUUCGGGGGACCCACACAGCCUCUACCAGGUGUCCUCCCGGCAAGGCAACCGCCUUUCCACUUGUGGCCUGAAGAACCCUGGACUCCACUCUGCUCCUGGGGAUUCACCCUUCCCACCAGAGCACCACCAGGGAUUUGAUUGCAUUGCCAUUCCACAAGACAUCACAUGGAUCCACUACGUUGAUGGACCAACUGCUUCAGACACCUUGGUCUACGUUGGUGACAGAUGUGUCAGGAGAUGAGGCAGCUAAAUGCGAGUCAUAUGUGGGCUGUGCCAGGCUAAGUCUAAAGAGCUGUGAGAAGUGAAGUAAAAUACCUAAAUCUGCCUUUUACGCAGAGCUGUAAGGUAAGACAGUAUCACUAAUUAAAACAAGAAAAUAUGGAAGCAGAAGAGCAUGAAGUAGGGGAGGUGAAAAGAUUAUGGGUUUUAGACUUACACAUUUUAUAUUGCUCAAGGGUCAUCUGACCCAAAGGCUGUGGGCUGCAUACAUAGGUCUGGAGCAAAAUCAAGGUUAGAGGCAUAGUCACUGGCACACAGGUAUUAGUUUCUCUGUCCAGGUGUGGACAGAGAAUUAGACUAAGGUUGGAGCCAGAAAAACAGCAACAUUUAAGGCAGGAAAUAGAGGAGAAUUGACAACAGGAAUCCCAUAGUAUCAUUGACCUUACAGUGUUUUAAAGUUUUAUUUAUAAGCCUAACUGGCCAAGUGGAAAGUGAACUUAUAGGAAAUAAUUAUAGCUCAUCUUUUUUUGUGUGUUUGUAUUCCCAGAAACUGUCCGGGUGCUUUGUACAUGGGAUACUUAAUGUAUGUGUAUUCAAAUGAAUUCAUGAAUAAUUAAUUAAUGAAGGACUCUCUGGCUUGACGUUUCUGUUUGGUGCUUCCAUCUUUUAGUGUGACAUUUCAUAGCAAUUGUUCUAUGUGUCUUUUUAUUUUCAUUACUUUUUUUAUUGUACAAGGAACCCACAUUUAUUUAAGAAAAAUUAGAAAAAGGAAAGCUAAAACAAUUACCCUGAAUUCCACUGCUGGGAAUAACUAUUAUUAACAUUUCAUGUCUAUCUUUUGGAUCACUACUAUCAAUAGAAGUACAAUGUGAGCCACAUAAAUAUAUUACAUUUUUUAGUAGCCAAAUUGAAAGAAACUAUAAAUAAAUAUAUAAAAUUAAUUUUAAAAAUAUAUUUUAUUUAACCUGGUAAUCUCCAAAUAUCAUUUCAACAUUGGUUCAUAAAACUAUUAAUAGGAUUGUUUACAUUCUUUUCUUUAUACUAAGCCUUUGAAACUUUGUGUGUAUUUUACACUCACAGCACAUUUUAAUUUGGAUUCAUCACAAUCCCAGUGUUUAAGAGCCACGUUAGCUAGUGGGCCAUGUAUGGAUAACACAGUUCAAAGUUCCUUUUGAUGUAUACAUAAUGAUAUGACUAUACAUAAAAUUGUAAUUCUCCCUCCACAACAUGCAGGUCAUAAGAAAUCUAUAGUUUUAUAAGCAUUUUAUAAUAAAUGUUUAAUUUUCAAACAGUUUUGGAUUUACAGAAAAGUUUUGAAGAUAGUACACAUAAUUUCCAUACUGCAUACCCAGUUUCCCUUACGAUGAACAUCUUAAAAUAGUACAUUUGCCACAAUUAAUAAAUAAUACUGAUAUAUUAUUGGCUACAGUUCAUACUUCAGUAGUUUUACUUUGAUUGCCUAAAGUUCUUCAUCUCCUGUGGAGUCCCCCAAGGAAACUACAUUACAUUUAGUUUUCAUAUCUCUUUAGGCUCCAGUGGGCUAUGACAAUAUCUCAGAUUUUUCUUCUUUUUUAAAAUUUUUUUUCAAAUUUAAGUUUAAAUUUUAUUUUAUUUCUUGUAAACUUUUUUUCAUGUUUGUUAUUUAUUUUUGAGAGACAGAGACUGACAGAGCAUAAGCGGGAGAGUGUCAGAGAGAGAGGGAGACCCGAAUCAGAAUCCGAAGUAGGCUUUGACUCUGAGCUGUCAGCACAGAACCAGCACAGUUGAAGCUACAAAGUGUGAGACCAUGACCUGAGCCGAAGUCAGGUGCUAAACCGACUGAGCCACGCAGGUGUCCUAAAGUUUAUUUUAUUUUAGAGAGAAAAAGAGCAAUGAGCAGAGGACAGAGGCUGAGAGAGAGAGAGAGAGAGAGAGAAAGAGAAUUGCAAGCAGGCUCCAUGCUCAGUGUUGAGCCCAAUGCAGGCUCAUUCCCACAAUUCUGAGAUCAUGACCAGAGUCAAAAUCAGGAGUUGGAUGCUCUGGGAAUGCAUGCUGGUGCAGCCACUCUGGAAAACAAUAUGGAGGGUUCCUCAAAAAUCUAAAAAUAGA